CCUACGGGUGGCAGCAGUGAGGAAUAUUGGUCAAUGGUCGGGAGACUGAACCAGCCAAGCCGCGUGAGGGAGGAAGGUACAGAGUAUCGUAAACCUCUUUUGUCAGGGAACAAAGGCGGGGACGUGUCCCCGGAUGAGUGUACCUGAAGAAAAAGCAUCGGCUAACUCCGUGCCAGCAGCCGCGGUAAUACGGAGGAUGCGAGCGUGAUCCGGAUUUAUGGGGGGUAAGGGGUGCGCAGGCGGUCUGUUAAGUCAACGGGCAAAGCCCGGGGCUCAACCCCGGCCCGCCGUUGAAACUGGCAGUCUCGAGUUGGAGAGAGGUAUGCGGAAUGCGCGGUGUAGCGGUGAAAUGCAUAGAUAUCGCGCAGAACUCCGAUUGCGAAGGCAGCAUGCCGGCUCCACACUGACGCUGAGGCACGAAAGCGUGGGUAUCGAACAGGAUUAGAUACCCUAGUAGUC
Molecule: ribosomal RNA, 459 nt
Filed under: uncultured bacterium
Lineage: Bacteria
Description: partial 16S ribosomal RNA
Rfam family: Bacterial small subunit ribosomal RNA
Source: RNAcentral